GACACCUUACUCAAGUGGUUACGAGGUCAGACUUGAAUUGGUCAUGUUAUCUGAUGGGGUUUCCCCGCGUAGGUUCAAAUCCUGCAGGUGUCG
Schizopora paradoxa is the source of this 93-nucleotide non-coding RNA. The record is from Rfam. NCBI's taxonomy places the organism in Eukaryota, Fungi, Basidiomycota, Agaricomycetes, Hymenochaetales, Schizoporaceae.